AGAGUUUGAUCCUGGCUCAGAUUGAACGCUGGCGGCAGGCCUAACACAUGCAAGUCGAGCGGUAGAGAGGUGCUUGCACCUCUUGAGAGCGGCGGACGGGUGAGUAAUGCCUAGGAAUCUGCCUGGUAGUGGGGGAUAACGUUCGGAAACGAACGCUAAUACCGCAUACGUCCUACGGGAGAAAGCAGGGGACCUUCGGGCCUUGCGCUAUCAGAUGAGCCUAGGUCGGAUUAGCUAGUUGGUGAGGUAAUGGCUCACCAAGGCGACGAUCCGUAACUGGUCUGAGAGGAUGAUCAGUCACACUGGAACUGAGACACGGUCCAGACUCCUACGGGAGGCAGCAGUGGGGAAUAUUGGACAAUGGGCGAAAGCCUGAUCCAGCCAUGCCGCGUGUGUGAAGAAGGUCUUCGGAUUGUAAAGCACUUUAAGUUGGGAGGAAGGGUUGUAGAUUAAUACUCUGCAAUUUUGACGUUACCGACAGAAUAAGCACCGGCUAACUCUGUGCCAGCAGCCGCGGUAAUACAGAGGGUGCAAGCGUUAAUCGGAAUUACUGGGCGUAAAGCGCGCGUAGGUGGUUCGUUAAGUUGGAUGUGAAAGCCCCGGGCUCAACCUGGGAACUGCAUUCAAAACUGUCGAGCUAGAGUAUGGUAGAGGGUGGUGGAAUUUCCUGUGUAGCGGUGAAAUGCGUAGAUAUAGGAAGGAACACCAGUGGCGAAGGCGACCACCUGGACUGAUACUGACACUGAGGUGCGAAAGCGGGGGGAGCAAACAGGAUUAGAUACCCUGGUAGUCCACGCCGUAAACGAUGUCAACUAGCCGUUGGGAGCCUUGAGCUCUUAGUGGCGCAGCUAACGCAUUAAGUUGACCGCCUGGGGAGUACGGCCGCAAGGUUAAAACUCAAAUGAAUUGACGGGGGCCCGCACAAGCGGUGGAGCAUGUGGUUUAAUUCGAAGCAACGCGAAGAACCUUACCAGGCCUUGACAUCCAAUGAACUUUCCAGAGAUGGAUUGGUGCCUUCGGGAGCAUUGAGACAGGUGCUGCAUGGCUGUCGUCAGCUCGUGUCGUGAGAUGUUGGGUUAAGUCCCGUAACGAGCGCAACCCUUGUCCUUAGUUACCAGCACGUUAUGGUGGGCACUCUAAGGAGACUGCCGGUGACAAACCGGAGGAAGGUGGGGAUGACGUCAAGUCAUCAUGGCCCUUACGGCCUGGGCUACACACGUGCUACAAUGGUCGGUACAGAGGGUUGCCAAGCCGCGAGGUGGAGCUAAUCCCAUAAAACCGAUCGUAGUCCGGAUCGCAGUCUGCAACUCGACUGCGUGAAGUCGGAAUCGCUAGUAAUCGCGAAUCAGAAUGUCGCGGUGAAUACGUUCCCGGGCCUUGUACACACCGCCCGUCACACCAUGGGAGUGGGUUGCACCAGAAGUAGCUAGUCUAACCUUCGGGGGGACGGUUACCACGGUGUGAUUCAUGACUGGGGUGAAGUCGUAACAAGGUAGCCGUAGGGGAACCUGCGGCUGGAUCACCUCCUUA
Molecule: ribosomal RNA, 1530 nt
Filed under: Pseudomonas sp. F96.27
Lineage: Bacteria; Pseudomonadati; Pseudomonadota; Gammaproteobacteria; Pseudomonadales; Pseudomonadaceae
Description: 16S ribosomal RNA
Rfam family: Bacterial small subunit ribosomal RNA
Source: RNAcentral